RNAcentral lists this ribosomal RNA (120 nucleotides) under uncultured bacterium. RNAcentral's name for it is "partial 16S ribosomal RNA". It matches the Rfam family "Bacterial small subunit ribosomal RNA", at positions 796 to 922 of the family's 1533-position model. The record is from RNAcentral.
CACGCCGUAAACGAUGAGUGCUAGGUGUUGGGGGAACUCAGUGCCGCAGUUAACACAAUAAGCACUCCGCCUGGGGAGUACGACCGCAAGGUUGAAACUCAAAGGAAUUGACGGGGACCC